Papaver somniferum (opium poppy) is the source of this 654-nucleotide long non-coding RNA. RefSeq lists it as uncharacterized. Lineage: Eukaryota; Viridiplantae; Streptophyta; Magnoliopsida; Ranunculales; Papaveraceae. The record is from RefSeq and is a predicted model, not a curated record. The transcript is spliced from 2 exons.
GUUUCUCCUUUUCUCUUUCCUUUUAAAUAUCGUCAAACUAUUCACCUCUUAUAUUUUCUUCACCUCUUUAGUUAAGCGUUUGGGUUUGGCAACGAGUUGGAGGAAAACUUGAUAACCAGGUGAUAGAGACGAGUGUUGAAGUCAUUAUUAACUUUGAAGAGGAUUCAUUACCCAAUAUCACCGUCCCUUCCCCAAACAAAGGAACUCCGAGAACUCAGUAAAACACCCUAUUUUAGGAUCAUCAAACCCACUUCAGAGGUCAUCCUUCUUUCUCCAUCUACCAUCUUCCCACAAUCCCACAAUCAACAAAAUUGUGCAUUUUCAAGCGUUAGACGACAGAGAGGACGAAUAGAUCAGGAAAAUGAUACAAUGAUGUUCUGGGUUUCUGAUGCUGGCCGCAACUUGAGACGGGAUAUGAUACCAUGUAAAUUUUUAGAUGAUUUCCUUUUCAUGCAUUCUCUGGGUUUUCAUUUUUGUGGCUAGUACUUUAUUGCAAUUAUUAAUAGUUUAGGACCACGACUAACACUACUUCGUGGAAAUUUCAUUUAAGAUUCAUUUCACCGGUGAGUUACGGUGUUUCAUUUUUCAUAUAUGAAGCGACCAGCUUAAUGUUGAUAAUAUGCGUGAUAAUAAAAAAUGAUGAUUCUGUACUCA